RNAcentral lists this ribosomal RNA (372 nucleotides) under uncultured bacterium. RNAcentral's name for it is "bacterial SSU rRNA". It matches the Rfam family "Bacterial small subunit ribosomal RNA", at positions 526 to 896 of the family's 1533-position model. The record is from RNAcentral.
GGNNNGGGGCAAGCGUUAUUCGGAAUCAUUGGGCGUAAAGGGCGCGUAGGCGGCCUUGCAAGUCAAAGGUGAAAUCCCUCGGCCUAACCGAGGAACUGCCUUUGAUACUGCAUGGCUCGAGGCCGGGAGAGGGUAGCGGAAUUCCCAGUGUAGCGGUGAAAUGCGUAGAUAUUGGGAGGAACACCAGUGGCGAAGGCGGCUACCUGGACCGGUUCUGACGCUGAUGCGCGAAAGCGUGGGGAGCAAACAGGAUUAGAUACCCUGGUAGUCCACGCCGUAAACGAUGGGUACUCGGUGUCGCGGGUAUCGACCCCUGCGGUGCCUUAGCUAACGCGUUAAGUACCCCGCCUGGGGAGUACGGUCGCAAGGCUG